Molecule: ribosomal RNA, 375 nt
Filed under: uncultured bacterium
Lineage: Bacteria
Description: bacterial SSU rRNA
Rfam family: Bacterial small subunit ribosomal RNA
Source: RNAcentral
UACAGAGGGUGCAAGCGAUAAUCGGAAUUACUGGGCGUAAAGGGUGCGUAGGUGGAUACGUAAGUCAGAUGUGAAAUCCCCGGGCUUAACCUGGGAACUGUAUUUGAUACUGCGAAUCUAGAGUAUGGUAGAGGUAAGUGGAAUUUCCAGUGUAGCGGUGAAAUGCGUAGAUAUUGGGAGGAACAUCAGUGGCGAAGGCGACUUACUGGACUGAUACUGACACUGAGGCACGAAAGCGUGGGGAGCAAACAGGAUUAGAUAUCCUGGUAGUCCAUGCUGUAAACGAUGAGAACUAGAUGUUAGGUGGCAUGACCACUUAGUAUCGAAGCUAACGCGAUAAGUUCUCCGCCUGGGGAGUACGGCCGCAAGGUUAAA